UGAGGAAAGUCCGGGCUUCACAGGGCAGGAUGCCGGAUAACGUCCGGUGGAGGAAACUCCCAGGCUAGUGCAACAGAGAUAUACCGCCACAUUGAUGUGGUAAGGGUGGAAAGGCAGUGUAAGAGACUACCGUGCAUCUGGUAACAGAUGCAGCCAUGUAAACCCCAUCCGAAGCAAGGCCAAACAGAGAGCGAUAGAUUGGCCCGAUCUGCUCUCAGGUGGGUCGCUUGAGGCUGUUGGUAACAGCAGUCCUAGAUAGAUGAACACCCAACGACAUAACCCGGCUUAUCGUCCGGCUUA
Molecule: RNase P RNA, 300 nt
Filed under: human gut metagenome
Description: Bacterial RNase P class A
Rfam family: Bacterial RNase P class A
About the family: Ribonuclease P (RNase P) is a ubiquitous endoribonuclease, found in archaea, bacteria and eukarya as well as chloroplasts and mitochondria.
Source: RNAcentral